AGAGUUUGAUCAUGGCUCAGAUUGAACGCUGGCGGCAGGCUUAACACAUGCAAGUCGAACGGAGUAUAGAGCUUGCUCUAUAUUUAGUGGCGAACGGGUGAGUAAUGCCUAGGAAUCUGCCCAUUAGCGGGGGAUAACGUGUGGAAACGCACGCUAAUACCGCAUACGCCCUACGGGGGAAAGCAGGGGAUCUUCGGACCUUGCACUAAUGGAUGAGCCUAGGUCGGAUUAGCUAGUUGGUAGGGUAAAGGCCUACCAAGGCUACGAUCUGUAGCGGGUCUGAGAGGAUGAUCCGCCACACUGGAACUGAGACACGGUCCAGACUCCUACGGGAGGCAGCAGUGGGGAAUAUUGGACAAUGGGGGAAACCCUGAUCCAGCCAUGCCGCGUGUGUGAAGAAGGCCUUUUGGUUGUAAAGCACUUUAAGCGAGGAGGAGGGCACUUUGGCUAAUACCCGAAUGUGUCGGACGUUACUCGCAGAAUAAGCACCGGCUAACUCUGUGCCAGCAGCCGCGGUAAUACAGAGGGUGCGAGCGUUAAUCGGAAUUACUGGGCGUAAAGCGCGCGUAGGCGGUUAUGUAAGUUGGAUGUGAAAUCCCCGGGCUUAACCUGGGCACUGCAUUCAAAACUGCAUAGCUAGAGUAUGGGAGGGGAAGGUAGAAUUCCAGGUGUAGCGGUGAAAUGCGUAGAGAUCUGGAGGAAUACCGAUGGCGAAGGCAGCCUUCUGGCCUAAUACUGACGCUGAGGUGCGAAAGCAUGGGGAGCAAACAGGAUUAGAUACCCUGGUAGUCCAUGCCGUAAACGAUGUCAACUAGCCGUUGGGGACCUUGAGUCCUUAGUGGCGCAGCUAACGCGAUAAGUUGACCGCCUGGGGAGUACGGUCGCAAGACUAAAACUCAAAUGAAUUGACGG
Molecule: ribosomal RNA, 912 nt
Filed under: uncultured bacterium
Lineage: Bacteria
Description: bacterial SSU rRNA
Rfam family: Bacterial small subunit ribosomal RNA
Source: RNAcentral